UAUAACCGGCGAUUUCCGAAUGGGGAAACCCAGUGUGAUUCGUCACACUAUCAUUAACUGAAUCCAUAGGUUAAUGAGGCGAACCGGGGGAACUGAAACAUCUAAGUACCCCGAGGAAAAGAAAUCAACCGAGAUUCCCCCAGUAGCGGCGAGCGAACGGGGAGGAGCCCAGAGCCUGAAUCAGCAUGUGUGUUAGUGGAAGCGUCUGGAAAGGCGCGCGAUACAGGGUGACAGCCCCGUACACAAAAGCGCAUGUGCUGUGAGCUCGAUGAGUAGGGCGGGACACGUGGUAUCCUGUCUGAAUAUGGGGGGACCAUCCUCCAAGGCUAAAUACUCCUGACUGACCGAUAGUGAACCAGUACCGUGAGGGAAAGGCGAAAAGAACCCCGGCGAGGGGAGUGAAAAAGAACCUGAAACCGUGUACGUACAAGCAGUGGGAGCACCCUUCGGGGUGUGACUGCGUACCUUUUGUAUAAUGGGUC
RNAcentral lists this ribosomal RNA (482 nucleotides) under Salmonella enterica subsp. enterica serovar Typhimurium. Its description in RNAcentral is "partial 23S ribosomal RNA". It matches the Rfam family "Bacterial large subunit ribosomal RNA", at positions 99 to 621 of the family's 2925-position model. Lineage: Bacteria; Pseudomonadati; Pseudomonadota; Gammaproteobacteria; Enterobacterales; Enterobacteriaceae. The record is from RNAcentral.